RNAcentral lists this long non-coding RNA (1057 nucleotides) under Olea europaea subsp. europaea. Lineage: Eukaryota; Viridiplantae; Streptophyta; Magnoliopsida; Lamiales; Oleaceae. The record is from RNAcentral.
UGGCACUGCAAUCUAUAUUGACAUAAAAAUUCUUCAAUCCCACUACUCAACCAGGCUUAAAACCAAGCUCGAGAACAGGUAAUAUAAUAUUGAUAUUGCUAAGGUGGCAUAAGGCAUAAUAAAAAAAUAAAAAAUAAAAAGACUUACAAAAAUGAACAAAAUGUGCAAAACCAUGACUGAUUUUUCAUUUGUUCCCAAACCCUCCGUUUUGCCGCCGCGCCAUCGCCGACCGGAGCACCCAUCGUCGAUCGGAGCACUGGUAGUCACUGACCAAGAAGAGCGAAAAAAAAAGGGAACUCAUUUAUCUCCAACAUUUGAAAGCCCAAAAGUCAAUCGAUUUUUUCCCUGUUCUUCCUUCCAUAACCUUCGACGUUUUUUCCCAAUCUAUUUUGCAUAUAGGUGGCACAGGAUCAAAAGCCAGGCAAGGUCAACACGAUCUUACAGAGGCUAUUGUGGGAGAUGGUUUUAGAUCUGAUGUUGAGAUUCAACGUGGAUUUUUUUGCUCCAUUCAGUCCUAAUUUGGGAGCCAAUUUAGGUUAAAGUUAUAAUGAUCUGCUAAUUUUUAUGACAAGUCAUGUGCCAAGAUUCUUUAGGAAUUGUAUGAGUACUUGAGCUAAAUUCUGGUUUAUUUAACAAUGAUGAUAGUUUGGAUAUGAAAGAGGGGGGCGAUCAAUCAAAUAAAUAUUGCAGUACACAUAUUUUGGAGAUAGAUGAUGAUGAUGAAUUAAAGAAGAAUACUAAGAUUCUUUAGCAUAUCAAGGGUCAAAAUGUAUUAGGAAAGAACUCGUGUGGAAAAGGACGUGAAGGCAGGUUUUUGCUCUGUUCUUGAUCUCCCCUUGCGUGGCAAGUUCUUUCAAGGGGGACCCCCUCGUGAAUUAGACAUUUGCAAUUGAUUCUUUAGUGGUAGCAGGGAUGAUCGGAGAUGGAAGGACUAUUAGAGUACUGGUCUCUAAAGAUGCUCCGUCGGUGAUAGGUGCUCCGGUGGGCAAAGGUACGGCGACGAGAGGGAAGGAGGGUUUGGCACUUAUGCUUCUCGCUUUUGCUUCUCCACUUUGUG